GCCGGGGUAGCUCAGCCCGGGAGAGCACUCGGCUGAAGACCGAGUUGUCGCGCGUUCAAAUCUCGCCCCCGGCACCA
This 77-nucleotide transfer RNA is filed under the name Nitrososphaerota archaeon. RNAcentral describes it as "Thaumarchaeota archaeon tRNA-Phe". It matches the Rfam family "tRNA". From Rfam's summary of the family: Transfer RNA (tRNA) molecules are approximately 80 nucleotides in length. Their secondary structure includes four short double-helical elements and three loops (D, anti-codon, and T loops). RNAcentral also lists the same sequence under 2 other names. Lineage: Archaea; Thermoproteati; Nitrososphaerota. The record is from RNAcentral.